Molecule: unclassified non-coding RNA, 241 nt
Filed under: Hevea brasiliensis (rubber tree)
Lineage: Eukaryota; Viridiplantae; Streptophyta; Magnoliopsida; Malpighiales; Euphorbiaceae
Source: RNAcentral
ACCUCUAUUGCGACAUCUAGAACCCCCACUAUCCAUUUACCUUGAAUUGGUUUGUUACUAUAUGGCUGUGACCAAAUAUCUUCUUUCAGGGGAAAAAAAGAAAUUAAUAAAGAAAGUAAGGAGAUAACUUUAAUUCAUUUGAUCAGAUGCUUAUUAUGAUUUGUUUUGAUCCAGGACAAACUUAAGGGUUAUGGGAAUAUACAAUAUACUCCAUCGAGGGACAGACAAUGGCACUUGUACA